Molecule: transfer RNA, 76 nt
Filed under: Wolbachia endosymbiont of Alcedoecus sp.
Lineage: Bacteria; Pseudomonadati; Pseudomonadota; Alphaproteobacteria; Rickettsiales; Anaplasmataceae
Description: tRNA-Ala
Rfam family: tRNA
About the family: Transfer RNA (tRNA) molecules are approximately 80 nucleotides in length.
Source: RNAcentral
GGGGGCAUAGCUCAGUUGGUAGAGCAUCUGUUUUGCACGCAGAAGGUCAGCGGUUCGACCCCGCUUGUCUCCACCA